AGUAAUCCCCAAAUGACAAAGAGAGAACUACUAUGGAUGAUUAGAGCACUCUCCCAGGGCACCUGAAUCCUGUCAUCCUGGAGGCUAACCAGGAGCAGGGUCUGGUGAUAGAAGAGAAAUUCCCUGAGAAAAAGAAAAGUAGAAAGGUGUCUGGAACUGGAUUACAGUUUCUUCUGAUUGAACGCAGCCUUUGAAUGCUGCCUGGCCUAUCGUGAAUACAUCCCUGCCUUGGACAAGACGCAGCUGAAUCUGUAAGAGAUGCUACUGCCACUACCACCCCAGAGCUCCAAACCUGUGCCUAAGAAAUCUCAGUCCAGCAAAAUUGUGCCCAGUCAUCAUG
Molecule: small RNA, 340 nt
Filed under: Pongo abelii (Sumatran orangutan)
Lineage: Eukaryota; Metazoa; Chordata; Mammalia; Primates; Hominidae
Description: processed transcript
Source: RNAcentral